RNAcentral lists this ribosomal RNA (1472 nucleotides) under metagenome. RNAcentral's name for it is "bacterial SSU rRNA". It matches the Rfam family "Bacterial small subunit ribosomal RNA". The record is from RNAcentral.
AGAGUUUGAUCCUGGCUCAGGAUGAACGCUAGCGGCAGGCUUAACACAUGCAAGUCGAGGGGUAUAAGUCUUCGGAUUUAGAGACCGGCGCACGGGUGCGUAACGCGUAUGCAAUCUACCUUUUACAGAGGGAUAGCCCAGAGAAAUUUGGAUUAAUACCUCAUAGUAUAUAGAGUUGGCAUCAACACUAUAUUAAAGUCACAACGGUAAAAGAUGAGCAUGCGUCCCAUUAGCUUGUUGGUAAGGUAACGGCUUACCAAGGCUACGAUGGGUAGGGGUCCUGAGAGGGAGAUCCCCCACACUGGUACUGAGACACGGACCAGACUCCUACGGGAGGCAGCAGUGAGGAAUAUUGGUCAAUGGACGCAAGUCUGAACCAGCCAUGCCGCGUGCAGGAUGACGGUCCUAUGGAUUGUAAACUGCUUUUGCACAGGAAGAAACAACUCUACGUGUAGAGUCUUGACGGUACUGUGAGAAUAAGGAUCGGCUAACUCCGUGCCAGCAGCCGCGGUAAUACGGAGGAUCCAAGCGUUAUCCGGAAUCAUUGGGUUUAAAGGGUCCGUAGGCGGUUUAGUAAGUCAGUGGUGAAAGCCCAUCGCUCAACGGUGGAACGGCCAUUGAUACUGCUAAACUUGAAUUAUUAGGAAGUAACUAGAAUAUGUAGUGUAGCGGUGAAAUGCUUAGAGAUUACAUGGAAUACCAAUUGCGAAGGCAGGUUACUACUAAUGGAUUGACGCUGAUGGACGAAAGCGUGGGUAGCGAACAGGAUUAGAUACCCUGGUAGUCCACGCCGUAAACGAUGGAUACUAGCUGUUGGAAGCAAUUUCAGUGGCUAAGCGAAAGUGAUAAGUAUCCCACCUGGGGAGUACGUUCGCAAGAAUGAAACUCAAAGGAAUUGACGGGGGCCCGCACAAGCGGUGGAGCAUGUGGUUUAAUUCGAUGAUACGCGAGGAACCUUACCAAGGCUUAAAUGUAGAUUGACCGGUUUGGAAACAGACUUUUCGCAAGACAAUUUACAAGGUGCUGCAUGGUUGUCGUCAGCUCGUGCCGUGAGGUGUCAGGUUAAGUCCUAUAACGAGCGCAACCCCUGUUGUUAGUUGCCAGCGAGUCAUGUCGGGAACUCUAACAAGACUGCCAGUGUAAACUGUGAGGAAGGUGGGGAUGACGUCAAAUCAUCACGGCCCUUACGCCUUGGGCUACACACGUGCUACAAUGGCCGGUACAGAGAGCAGCCACUGGGCGACCAGGAGCGAAUCUACAAAACCGGUCACAGUUCGGAUCGGAGUCUGCAACUCGACUCCGUGAAGCUGGAAUCGCUAGUAAUGGGAUAUCAGCCAUGAUCCGGUGAAUACGUUCCCGGGCCUUGUACACACCGCCCGUCAAGCCAUGGAAGCUGGGGGUGCCUGAAGUCGGUGACCGCAAGGAGCUGCCUAGGGUAAAACUGGUAACUAGGGCUAAGUCGUAACAAGGUA